Molecule: ribosomal RNA, 430 nt
Filed under: Acidobacteriota bacterium
Lineage: Bacteria; Pseudomonadati; Acidobacteriota
Description: Acidobacteria bacterium partial 16S ribosomal RNA
Rfam family: Bacterial small subunit ribosomal RNA
Source: RNAcentral
UGGGGAAUAUUGGACAAUGGGCGCAAGCCUGAUCCAGCCAUGCCGCGUGUGUGAAGAAGGCCUUUUGGUUUUAAAGCACUUUAAGCGAGGAGGAGGCUACUUGGAUUAAUACUCUAGGAUAGUGGACGUUACUCGCAGAAUAAGCACCGGCUAACUCUGUGCCAGCAGCCGCGGUAAUACAGAGGGUGCGAGCGUUAAUCGGAUUUACUGGGCGUAAAGCGUGCGUAGGCGGCUUUUUAAGUCGGAUGUGAAAUCCCUGAGCUUAACUUAGGAAUUGCAUUCGAUACUGGGAAGCUAGAGUAUGGGAGAGGAUGGUAGAAUUCCAGGUGUAGCGGUGAAAUGCGUAGAGAUCUGGAGGAAUACCGAUGGCGAAGGCAGCCAUCUGGCCUAAUACUGACGCUGAGGUACGAAAGCAUGGGGAGCAAACAGG